RNAcentral lists this long non-coding RNA (3026 nucleotides) under Chelonus insularis. RNAcentral's name for it is "uncharacterized LOC118063688, transcript variant X4". Lineage: Eukaryota; Metazoa; Arthropoda; Insecta; Hymenoptera; Braconidae. The record is from RNAcentral.
UCUAAAUUGGUUUUAAAUCAAAUCAACCUUGAAAAAUCGAGGUAAUUGACAAAAAGCAGCGAGUCUAAAGUAUUGUACAAACAGAAAGUACAGGUGACUCUCUUGUGGACAAAGAGGGAGGAAGAAUGAAGCUGUCGUGAGAUGCAGAAAAGAAGGCGAGACCGAGAAGGAUUGUAAGAAUGAGAGGUCGAGAGAAGGGUUACCUUUAGACAAAGAGGUGUCGCGUACAAAACAGUUAAUGAGUCUACGGCUGGGUGGUCCGGCCCGGGGCUUCGUCUUAAUAACGUCGAGGCGAGAGUGAACAUGGAGGUUGUGCAGAGGAUGUUAAGAGUUUUGAGGUUAUAUCGUGAUCACUUAUUGGCAUUGGAUUAUGAGAACUUUUUAUCGAUGAAGACGUCCAGCUUGAUUGUUGUGCAAAUUAACGGUCGACUGAAUAUCACCAGCCUUUUCUCUUGAAUCUAGAAAUUGCCUCGAGAAUUCCAUCCCGUAUUCUAGAUUAUGAGAACAACCUCCCCAUUUCCAGUGUGCUCCGCGUGCUUUUGCUGGUGGUUUACCCUUGUAACUAGACGGAUCGCAACCGCAGGAAAUCAAACGACCCAUGCUGCAGGAUUUUGCAAUACUGUGUGCUACACCAGCAGCUGAUAUCGCAUAGGCAAAAGCCGUUUCUCUGUAACCUGGAACAAAGAAGACGCAAUUUCAUUACACAAAUUUUACACUUGGGUGAUUGACGAUGUUGCACAUGAUAACACUAGAGUCUCCUGGAAUCUUUCAUUUUUCAACUGGAAAAAAUAUCUCUUUCUUUCAACUCUGUCUGCUUAUUUUUUUUUUUCAUAACGAAGUUAUUGUAAUGGAAUCGAUUUUUAAAAUUCGAAUCAGGGACAAUUUUUACUGAUUUUCAGUGUUAGUUCAACUGCUGAUUCAUUCAGUAAUUAGACAGGCACCGAUAAUCAGUGAUUAUUUAGUGCUAAUCUAAUUAUUGAUUCAAUCAAUGGUUGGAUUAGCACUGAAAAUCAGUAAAAAUUGUCUGUGAUUCGCAAUUAUUUUCACUGAUUCAAAAUAUUGUUAAUAAAUGAGACCAAUAUCAACAAAAUACUGUUGUAAAUGACUAUACAUUAAUUUUAACAAUGGGAUAUUGUUUAUAACAAUUGCAAUUUGUUAUAUGGAGAACUGUUUAAUGGAAAGUUUGUCAUAGUACAUCCCUUUUGGCUUUUAACAACAUGAAUUUCGAGACAAUAAUAUUAUGUAUUAAUGUACGUGAAGCUCAUGUGUUUUUAUCAUCUCUGAGAAAGCGAAAAAAAAAGUAAAUACGGUUCAUGCGUUUCUCGAGAGCCUAUACUGGGUUCCUUCAACUCCGUCUCCUCCACGUCGUCGGCGUACUUGUUGUCGUCCGAGGAGAGAAGUAGAGAGCGGAUUCAAGAUCUACUGAGAGACGUAUAGCUCCCACUGGAGGAUUUAUUACGACUUCUCUAACAUCCUGCUCACCCAUCCAGCGGUUGCAUACCACCCGUCCUACCACUUGGAGUAGUCAACACUGAUGAUGCAAAACUUGAUGCUUUUGGGAGUCAAUCAGGCAUUUUAAUUGGCCAAGUGUCAUCAUGAAGCAUGAUCAAUAGGACUGCUUCAGUUUAAUCCUAUUUGAAGUAUUACUAAGUGUUCCAGGGAAUCAGAGAUCAGGAUAUUGAUUAAAGACUAUGAGAUGGUGUUGAUUCAGAGAAGAAUUUAGUUUGAAAAGAGAAUCAUUUUCUAGCUUUAUUCGAUCAAGCUAAUUAUUGAAUUAAUUUUCUAGGAAAACAUAAAGGUACUUGUUGAUAGUGAUGAACAAUUCCACCUGUGCCAUGCAAAUUGAUGUUGACAUUCAGUUAUCGCCAUCUGGAGACCUUUGAUUGCCGCUGCUGUCACGUCUGGAUUUGCAUAGCAAAGAUCUCUUUGCUCCUUCGUCAACCCUGGGAUUCCAUUGCAGACAAUUAUAUUACCACUUGACCAGUCAUCCACUGAAUUACUCAUCAACCCCAUCGCUCUAAAAUGAAUGAAAAAAAUUCAACAUGUAAAUGAAGUUCAUUGAUCAAAUAGCAUCACCAGCACCAAUAAAUAUCACAUGGUAAUGAAGGAAGAUUGAUCACAGUGGAGAUUGUUGGAGAAAAUGCUAUUAAUAAACAUCACUAAUUAAAAGUAAUCUAAGCAACCUAUCGUCAUAAUUAAAUAACAACACACUCAGCAGUCUUGGAUAAUCUAUUCACAUCGAUCUAGACUCUACAUCAUUUUUCUCUUAUUUCUCGUGGCCAAAUAUUUAUGCACCAUACAAAUUGGCCAUAAAAACAAGACCCUAAAAGUAAGGAACGUGUUGCACCCGCGUGUGAAUGUGCAAAUUCUUCGGGGACCUGUGUGACUUUGGGAGAGAGAGAGGCUUUGGAAUCAGCUGAAAGACAGAAAGGUACCAGGAGGAAGAUAGAGGAUCCUAUUUGGUGGAUCCUGCAAGAAGGUUUCAAGUUAUUGAGCGUUCCCAUUACUUCUACAACACCGGUGCUGGUAUCUUAUGCACUAUUGAUGAUCUAAUGAAAGUGAAUUGAUGAUUCAAAGGCGAUAGACAAAUUGCUACAUAAAUGUGAAUACGCUCUAGAGUGUUUUGUGCUGCUAAAUUAUCAACAACUUGACCAGCAACGAAUCAGAUCAUUGAAGAUCUAUCAUCUCCAAAAAAAGAAACAAAAUGUUGAAUAUUAAUCAGAUACCAUGGGUCUUAAUAAAUAAUUAUUCACUUAAUUAAUUUUUCAACUCAAUCGAUCUACGUAUUUAAAGUGAAGUAAGAAAUGAUUAUUAAUAAAUGAAAGUAUAGAAAAAAUAAAUAUAGAAUAAGGAAAUAAGCAGACAAGUUUUCGUUUCCAUCAGCUACCAUAUGUUCAAUUUACACUUAGAGUCUGUUUUCCAAUCAAAAACAUCCAGAGAUAUUGGGUUCAAAAGGUGCCAACAUUUAACGAACUUGUUCAAAUAUAUCUUUAAUACUAUUUAACUUUAGUUUUACGAUCACUCAA